UUUCCAUUAAGCCAGAAAAGACAAUGCUCAAGUUAUAUAAAUAAACAUAGUGAUCAAGCACAGACUAGGAAGUAGGAGAUCAACAGAAUAUUACAUAAGCAAAUCAAAGUGAUUUGUGAAUGGAAAAACUGUGUAUGUAAAACUAAGUUUUCAUACGAGGUUUCUUCUAUGCAUCAGCAUCACGAUCAGAAAAGAAAUAGGCACUGCUGCAUCUGGUGACAGAAAAAGGAGAUGCUGAUUUGCCAUUAGAAAUCAAAGGAACUCUUAAGCGACGACACUGAACAAUGGGUGGAUUGAAACGAGAACUCUUGAACCUUGCAUACUUGGCUCUGAUAUUAAGAUCAAAAUCCACAGCUAAGUCCUUGUGAAUCCCAGCAUUUGUCUCCUCUUUAUACUCACCAAGUUGUUUAGCUUUGAGCUUAAUGAACCUCUGCCCUACAAACACUGCUUGAAGGAAGGUGGUGUUCUUGUGGCCUUGGUCAAAGGGUGUUAAGCUCACCCAACCAAAAGCAUUAUCUUUGUACCAAGCUAUUGCUGUGAUCUUCCUAUAGUACACUAUGAUGUUGUUGUUGGGAUUUCUCACUGUGACAUUGACCUUGAAGUUGUAAUACAAGGUGUUGUUGCUUGUGGUGAGGUUGAACUGUGUUAGAGAGGCAUCGGUUACGUGGAACUUGACACUUGAAGGAGAUAUGAUUAUCCAGAAGAGGAUAAAGGAAAACAUGAACAUGAACAUAAGGGUGUAAAGUGUGAGGAAGAUGUAGCAGAAGCCGCAGCGUGGUUUGAAACACAUGAUGAUUGAUUAUUAGGUGUAAGUGGUUGAUGAACAUAAGCGUAUUUGUAGCAGUUGCCAUUGAUGGUCUGUUGCUUGAUCUUUUUCUUGGAGAUUUCCUUGCAAAA
RNAcentral lists this small RNA (897 nucleotides) under Vigna angularis var. angularis. Its description in RNAcentral is "Non-protein coding transcript". The record is from RNAcentral. Lineage: Eukaryota; Viridiplantae; Streptophyta; Magnoliopsida; Fabales; Fabaceae.